AAGGUCUUCGGAUCGUAAAACUCUGUUAUUAGGGAAGAACAUAUGUGUAAGUAACUGUGCACAUCUUGACGGUACCUAAUCAGAAAGCCACGGCUAACUACGUGCCAGCAGCCGCGGUAAUACGUAGGUGGCAAGCGUUAUCCGGAAUUAUUGGGCGUAAAGCGCGCGUAGGCGGUUUUUUAAGUCUGAUGUGAAAGCCCACGGCUCAACCGUGGAGGGUCAUUGGAAACUGGAAAACUUGAGUGCAGAAGAGGAAAGUGGAAUUCCAUGUGUAGCGGUGAAAUGCGCAGAGAUAUGGAGGAACACCAGUGGCGAAGGCGACUUUCUGGUCUGUAACUGACGCUGAUGUGCGAAAGCGUGGGGAUCAAACAGGAUUAGAU
RNAcentral lists this ribosomal RNA (380 nucleotides) under Staphylococcus sp. RNAcentral describes it as "bacterial SSU rRNA". It matches the Rfam family "Bacterial small subunit ribosomal RNA", at positions 411 to 783 of the family's 1533-position model. The record is from RNAcentral. Lineage: Bacteria; Bacillati; Bacillota; Bacilli; Caryophanales; Staphylococcaceae.